GUACGUUAAUGUCAACGUUUAAGAAUACUUGCCUUUUGUUUUUAAUCAAAAUAUUAAUACAAGGUGGGUAGAAAAAUAAAUAAAUAAAUGUAAUGUCUACCUACGGUUGCGUUUAGAAACGCGUACAAUUAUUUGUUUCGUUAAUUAAGUAUUAUUUAUUUCUUUUACUAAACUGAUUAACGUAUUUUCAAAUUCAUAUUUAUUAUAACAACUUGGGUUUAGAAAUAAAAAAUUGUAACUUAGUUAAAACUUAAAAAACAAACAGUACGUAGUCAUUAUCUGUAUCGGUGCAACGGCAAGUUGAGCCAAAUUCGAUCUCACGUCAUUGUGAUAUGGUUUCGAUUCUUUUACCUGGACUGCUGUACCAAUGCAAAUCGGAUUCGUUCGCUACUCAUUCACGGGCCGUUCCGUGAGUUUGGUUAGAUGCUUUAGCGAACCGACCAUUUUUUAAAAUAUCAUCACGGAAGACACACGUUCACGCGCUCCUUACAAGUACUCACUUUUGCCAGUCCUUAGUGCGUGACGUUAAUCGUGGUCUUAACGGUUUUAUUUUAUAAUUUUGAAAACAUAUUUUUCAAACUUCGUUUAACUUAUUCUCUAUAUUGUAGAAUCAGUGCAUCUCCCCGUAUUGGGGUCCAAAGUUCGGGUUCAAAGUUCGGCUUAAACUCCGGGCCACGGCUGAUCCGUUGGCCGAACGUCGACAGGCACCGAGAGGCACCGUGCACCGAUUACCCUCUACCAUACUGCAUCACCAUCUGCGGGUCGUCCACCCUGAAGCGCCUCCUCGGCUGAGCGUCAUCACCGGACAUCUCUCCACGUGAAGCCAGGACAGUGCUAGCGCGCUUUACCUCCAUAUAACGAAAUUACUUUUUGCUGACGGGCAUUCGAAUCGCGACCUUGAAAUAAAUUUUUAUGUUCACAAUGUGGGGUUUAAUUUAAAAUCUAAACCGUCCACACGCUAAACGUGACAUUGGCGCCCUUUUCGUGGUUUAUAUAUGGGUCCAAAGUUCGGGUUCAAAGUUCGGCUUAAACUCCGGGCCACGGCUGAUCCGUUGGCCGAACGUCGACAGGCACCGAGAGGCACCGUGCACCGAUUACCCUCUACCAUACUGCAUCACCAUCUGCGGGUCGUCCACCCUGAAGCGCCUCCUCGGCUGAGCGUCAUCACCGGACAUCUCUCCACGUGAAGCCAGGACAGUGCUAGCGCGCUUUACCUCCAUAUAACGAAAUUACUUUUUGCUGACGGGCAUUCGAAUCGCGACCUUGAAAUAAAUUUUUAUGUUCACAA
Helicoverpa armigera (cotton bollworm) is the source of this 1288-nucleotide long non-coding RNA. RefSeq lists it as uncharacterized. Lineage: Eukaryota; Metazoa; Arthropoda; Insecta; Lepidoptera; Noctuidae. The record is from RefSeq and is a predicted model, not a curated record. The transcript has 3 exons.